CCAUGCAUGUCUAAGUUUAAGCAAUUAUACCGCGAAACUGCGAAUGGCUCAUUAAAUCAGUUAUCGUUUAUUUGAUAGUACCUUACUACUUGGAUAACCGUGGUAAUUCUAGAGCUAAUACAUGCUAAAAAUCCCGACUUCGGAAGGGAUGUAUUUAUUAGAUUAAAAACCAAUGCCCUUCGGGGCUCUCUGGUGAUUCAUAAUAACUUCUCGAAUCGCAUGGCCUUGCGCCGGCGAUGGUUCAUUCAAAUUUCUGCCCUAUCAACUUUCGACGGCUGGGUCUUGGCCAGCCAUGGUGACAACGGGUAACGGAGGGUUAGGGCUCGACCCCGGAGAAGGAGCCUGAGAAACGGCUACUACAUCCAAGGAAGGCAGCAGGCGCGCAAAUUACCCAAUCCCAAUUCGGGGAGGUAGUGACAAUAAAUACUGAUACAGGGCUCUUUUGGGUCUUGUAAUUGGAAUGAGUACAAUUUAAAUCCCUUAACGAGGAACAAUUGGAGGGCAAGUCUGGUGCCAGC
Molecule: ribosomal RNA, 518 nt
Filed under: uncultured fungus
Lineage: Eukaryota; Fungi
Description: SSU rRNA
Rfam family: Eukaryotic small subunit ribosomal RNA
Source: RNAcentral